AUUGAACGCUGGCGGCAUGCUUUACACAUGCAAGUCGAACGGUAACAGGCCUUCGGGUGCUGACGAGUGGCGAACGGGUGAGUAAUGCAUCGGAACGUGCCCAGAGGUGGGGGAUAACGCAGCGAAAGCUGUGCUAAUACCGCAUGUGAUCUGAGGAUGAAAGCGGGGGACCAAGCAGCAAUGUUUGGCCUCGCGCCUCUGGAGCGGCCGAUGUCAGAUUAGGUAGUUGGUGGGGUAAAGGCCUACCAAGCCGAUGAUCUGUAGCUGGUCUGAGAGGACGACCAGCCACACUGGGACUGAGACACGGCCCAGACUCCUACGGGAGGCAGCAGUGGGGAAUUUUGGACAAUGGGCGCAAGCCUGAUCCAGCAAUGCCGCGUGCGGGAAGAAGGCCUUCGGGUUGUAAACCGCUUUUGUACGGAACGAAAAGGCUCUGGCUAAUACCUGGGGCUGAUGACGGUACCGUAAGAAUAAGCACCGGCUAACUACGUG
This 492-nucleotide ribosomal RNA is filed under the name uncultured bacterium. RNAcentral describes it as "partial 16S ribosomal RNA". It matches the Rfam family "Bacterial small subunit ribosomal RNA", at positions 30 to 507 of the family's 1533-position model. The record is from RNAcentral.